AAGAUUAAGCCAUGCAUGUCUAAGUAUAAGCACUUUAUACUGUGAAACUGCGAAUGGCUCAUUAAAUCAGUUAUCGUUUAUUUGAUAGUACCUUACUACAUGGAUACCUGUGGUAAUUCUAGAGCUAAUACAUGCUAAAAACCCCGACUUCGGAAGGGGUGUAUUUAUUAGAUAAAAAACCAAUGCCCUUCGGGGCUCCUUGGUGAUUCAUAAUAACUUAACGAAUCGCAUGGCCUUGCGCCGGCGAUGGUUCAUUCAAAUUUCUGCCCUAUCAACUUUCGAUGGUAGGAUAGUGGCCUACCAUGGUGGCAACGGGUAACGGGGAAUUAGGGUUCGAUUCCGGAGAGGGAGCCUGAGAAACGGCUACCACAUCCAAGGAAGGCAGCAGGCGCGCAAAUUACCCAAUCCCGACACGGGGAGGUAGUGACAAUAAAUACUGAUACGGGGCUCUUUCGGGUCUCGUAAUUGGAAUGAGUACAAUCUAAAUCCCUUAACGAGGAACAAUUGGAGGGCAAGUCUGGUGCCAGCAGCCGCGGUAAUUCCAGCUCCAAUAGCGUAUAUUAAAGUUGUUGCAGUUAAAAAGCUCGUAGUUGAACCUUGGGUCUGGCUGGCCGGUCCGCCUCACCGCGAGUACUGGUCCGGCUGGACCUUUCCUUCUGGGGAAUCCCAUGGCCUUCACUGGCUGUGGGGGGAACCAGGACUUUUACUGUGAAAAAAUUAGAGUGUUCAAAGCAGGCCUUUGCUCGAAUACAUUAGCAUGGAAUAAUAGAAUAGGACGUGCGGUUCUAUUUUGUUGGUUUCUAGGACCGCCGUAAUGAUUAAUAGGGAUAGUCGGGGGCGUCAGUAUUCAGCUGUCAGAGGUGAAAUUCUUGGAUUUGCUGAAGACUAACUACUGCGAAAGCAUUCGCCAAGGAUGUUUUCAUUAAUCAGGGAACGAAAGUUAGGGGAUCGAAGACGAUCAGAUACCGUCGUAGUCUU
This 978-nucleotide ribosomal RNA is filed under the name Aspergillus terreus. RNAcentral describes it as "SSU rRNA". It matches the Rfam family "Eukaryotic small subunit ribosomal RNA", at positions 40 to 1027 of the family's 1831-position model. The record is from RNAcentral. Lineage: Eukaryota; Fungi; Ascomycota; Eurotiomycetes; Eurotiales; Aspergillaceae.